GACGAACGCUGGCGGCGUGCUUAACACAUGCAAGUCGAGCGGUAAGGCCCUUCGGGGUACACGAGCGGCGAACGGGUGAGUAACACGUGAGCAACCUGCCCCUGACUCUGGGAUAAGCGGUGGAAACGCCGUCUAAUACCGGAUACGACCUUCCGCCUCAUGGUGGAGGGUGGAAAGUUUUUUCGGUCAGGGAUGGGCUCGCGGCCUAUCAGCUUGUUGGUGGGGUAACGGCCUACCAAGGCGAUUACGGGUAGCCGGCCUGAGAGGGCGACCGGCCACACUGGGACUGAGACACGGCCCAGACUCCUGCGGGAGGCAGCAGUGGGGAAUAUUGCGCAAUGGGCGAAAGCCUGACGCAGCGACGCCGCGUGGGGGAUGACGGCCUUCGGGUUGUAAACCUCUUUUACCACCAACGCAGGCUCCGGGUUCUCUCGGGGUUGACGGUAGGUGGGGAAUAAGGACCGGCUAACUACGUGCCAGCAGCCGCGGUAAUACGUAGGGUCCGAGCGUUGUCCGGAAUUAUUGGGCGUAAAGAGCUCGUAGGCGGCGUGUCGCGUCUGCUGUGAAAGACCGGGGCUUAACUCCGGUUCUGCAGUGGAUACGGGCAUGCUAGAGGUAGGUAGGGGAGACUGGAAUUCCUGGUGUAGCGGUGAAAUGCGCAGAUAUCAGGAGGAACACCGGUGGCGAAGGCGGGUCUCUGGGCCUUACCUGACGCUGAGGAGCGAAAGCAUGGGGAGCGAACAGGAUUAGAUACCCUGGUAGUCCAUGCCGUAAACGUUGGGCGCUAGGUGUGGGGACUUUCCACGGUUUCCGCGCCGUAGCUAACGCAUUAAGCGCCCCGCCUGGGGAGUACGGCCGCAAGGCUAAAACUCAAAGGAAUUGACGGGGGCCCGCACAAGCGGCGGAGCAUGUUGCUAAUUCGACGCACGCGAAAACCUUACCAAGGUUUGAAUCACCCGUGGACU
Molecule: ribosomal RNA, 965 nt
Filed under: Nocardiopsis alba
Lineage: Bacteria; Bacillati; Actinomycetota; Actinomycetes; Streptosporangiales; Nocardiopsidaceae
Also listed under: 1 other name
Description: bacterial SSU rRNA
Rfam family: Bacterial small subunit ribosomal RNA
Source: RNAcentral